AUUACAGAAGGUGACCGUAUAUGUCAGGAUCAAAGAAGAACUCGUUUUAAAGGCGUGAAAACUCAUAAGGGCCGCAGAUGUCUCCAAGAUGGGGAAAAUGAGCUGCUCGUGCAGUCACCCACAAAGAUUCAAUGUUGGUGACUUUCCUCAAAGUGAGACGUGGCCUGAGCUCGUCAUUGCACUCGCCCGCCAGACGCCAUUAGCACCAUUUCGCCUUUCCUAAGGUCUGUCCAUAUUUCCAGAGGAUUAGUCGGGCUCUGCUAUUUUCCGUGAUGGCUCAUGCACAUGUGUGCAUAAUGCAGCAUGUGAACAUCUGGAGCUGGUUAGCCAUAUUGGGGAAGUUAGACCCCCCCCCCCCCCCCCUCCCUCACAGUCUGCAUUGCGUAGGCUGCACUGCAAAGCCUCAGUGUAUGAACCCGUUGAUCCGCGUCACUGUGUCACCGUGCUUGAAUACAACAAUCUUGAUAAUCAACUGAGGGUUUUGUCAGAGCCUUUACUAAAAUGGGAGCCAGGUGAAAGUAACAACAGUAAAGCAAAACCACACAGUAUCAUACCAUUUUUUUAUUUUGAUGCCAUUCAGAUUGGCAACCUGCAGCAACAUUGCGGAGUGAUUAAUCUCACCAUCAUAACACCAAAACAAAUCUUUACACUGAGCAUUGUAAAUGCAUGCUUAGCAAAGUUCAUACAACAAAUAAAUGAUGACUAUACUAUGAUUAACAGAUAAUUGGUGCACAUUUAUAGCCACGAUAAAUUUGAAAUACAAACAUAUCGAAACACGAGUAGGGAGGGGGCCGAUAACCGAUAUUAGGCUGAUACCGACCUCGUUUUAAGGUCAGCAGUAGGUGGAGAAAGAAAGCCAUUACAUAUGAACUGUAAGGGUGCAGCUAGACAUAGUGAUUGGUGGAAUGGAAAUUGUUAACUUCUGUGAAUCGUAUGUGUAACUACCUCACAUUAGCCAUUUUUUCCUGUCUUUUUUCUUAUUUCCUAACAACAACGCAAUGCAGCUGUAAUUUAUACUUUCUUAAAAGCAACCAGGUUUUAGCUUGACACUCAGUAUGUUUUGAAGGACUUUACAAGGCUGAAGGUUAACUGUAUGUUAAAAAAAUGAGGCAGUAUGGUAAGGCUUGUGACCAUGACCCUAAACAACAAUGGACGGAUGGAACUUAUUUCUGUCAAUGAUCAGGCACGGUCCCGGAUUGCGACCUGUCUUUCUCCACAUCUGCAAUCGCAGAGUUGAGCAUCUGCAAUCGCAGAGUUGAACAUCAGCGGUCAUUCAAGCGCCAAAUGUCAUGUCCAAGUCCCGGUUGUUUACUGUGACGUGCAUAAAAGCAGGCCAGCUGUGACUCGCAUCAUGCUGCUUCAGCACAAUGAGGAACGUGAUGAGGAUGCUGAAAAACUCAGUGUGGUCCACACACGCAAAUUAAAAGCGAAUAGGAAA
This is a long non-coding RNA of Syngnathus typhle (broad-nosed pipefish), 1438 nucleotides long. RefSeq lists it as uncharacterized. The transcript is spliced from 2 exons. The record is from RefSeq and is a predicted model, not a curated record. Lineage: Eukaryota; Metazoa; Chordata; Actinopteri; Syngnathiformes; Syngnathidae.